Helianthus annuus (common sunflower) is the source of this 1052-nucleotide RNA transcript. RefSeq lists it as uncharacterized. Lineage: Eukaryota; Viridiplantae; Streptophyta; Magnoliopsida; Asterales; Asteraceae. The transcript is spliced from 5 exons. The record is from RefSeq and is a predicted model, not a curated record.
AUUUUUUUUCUCUCAGCCGUUCCAUCUUCCUAAACAUCUUUAGGGUUUUUUACAUUGCAGCCGCCUGUUCUUCUCCGUGUUCAAUCUUUCAUCUCAAUGGUACACACUCAAAACCCUAGCGCCUCCCUCACUUUUUCUGCAGAUCCAUAUGUUGGAAUGGAAGAGUUUCACAAUCACGAAACCCUAGCCCUCAUCAUCUUCCCUGUUUUGAUUCAAGAAGCUAGGGUUUGUGGUUUUGGUAAGUUUUUUCGAUCUAUAAACUAAUCCAUGUCUGAUUGUUAUCAGUAUGAUUAUAGUUACGAUUCACAGUGUUUUAGUCUUUUUAUUGUUUCACAAAGAUCUCAUCUACAUUCUCCACCAUUGGCUUCAUUCUAUCUUAAAUGAUUUAAUAACCCGUUUCAAGUUAAAAACCCUAACUAAGAGCAUUUCAUCUUCAGAUCUGCUGUUGCUUUGGUUGUUAAGGGAUCGUAGCUUCUUGCGUAAAGUACUAAAGUGUUGAAAACAAGAAAAUCAGAUCCACUAAAGGAUGUAAUAUUGGGCUGCUGGUUUUAGUGAUCUAAGCCCCUCAGAAAUUGAUUGCCCCCCAAACAAACGCAGGGAUGAUCCCAAUGAGGUUUGUGAAUAAAGAUGGUUACAAUUAAUCCAAAAGAGUAUUCUUUGCAUACAAGCUGUGUGAGUUAGCAAGAAGUGGCGUGCCACCUUAUAUUGGCCCUAAUGUGUGGAGGCUUCUCUUGAUUUAACCAUCAAAUUGUACAAAAGUGCCCUUCUGAUGCUAGAGCAUUCAAAAAGUAUGGAUUUAGAUGACAAAAUAUUGGAGAAGACUUUGAUAGACCUGGCGGAGUUGCUUCAUGUUGUAGGAUGGUAUGAUUUAUAUGUCCUAGAUUUUUCACACUUACAGGUCAAUAUUCAGGUUGUAAUUUAUUGAUAACGGGUCAAGCAUGUCUUAUGUAGAAAAGUAGAUGAUAAUGAAAUGGGUCAACAAUUCGGAUGAGUGUAAAAUGGGCUGAAAGUUACCAAACUUGUAUUUAAAUGAUAUCUUUUAAGUCAUCUUA